RNAcentral lists this ribosomal RNA (460 nucleotides) under uncultured bacterium. RNAcentral's name for it is "partial 16S ribosomal RNA". It matches the Rfam family "Bacterial small subunit ribosomal RNA", at positions 338 to 795 of the family's 1533-position model. The record is from RNAcentral.
CCUACGGGAGGCAGCAGUGAGGAAUAUUGGUCAAUGGACGAGAGUCUGAACCAGCCAAGUAGCGUGAAGGAUGACUGCCCUAUGGGUUGUAAACUUCUUUUAUAUGGGAAUAAAAUGUUCCACGUGUGGGAUUUUGUAUGUACCAUAUGAAUAAGGAUCGGCUAACUCCGUGCCAGCAGCCGCGGUAAUACGGAGGAUCCAAGCGUUAUCCGGAUUUAUUGGGUUUAAAGGGAGCGUAGGUGGAUUGUUAAGUCAGUUGUGAAAGUUUGCGGCUCAACCGUAAAAUUGCAGUUGAAACUGGCAGUCUUGAGUACAGUAGAGGUGGGCGGAAUUCGUGGUGUAGCGGUGAAAUGCUUAGAUAUCACGAAGAACUCCGAUUGCGAAGGCAGUUCACUGGACUGCAACUGACACUGAGGCUCGAAAGUGUGGGUAUCAAACAGGAUUAGAUACCCCUGUAGUC